RNAcentral lists this unclassified non-coding RNA (869 nucleotides) under Hevea brasiliensis (rubber tree). Lineage: Eukaryota; Viridiplantae; Streptophyta; Magnoliopsida; Malpighiales; Euphorbiaceae. The record is from RNAcentral.
GUGGGCACAAGAAUCAUUCAUAGAAUUACACAUCAUCAUUAGAGUCGAUGUAGCACAUAUCAUAUGUAUGCAGUAUAUAAUAUAUAUAUAAUUUGAAACACACACAGCUGCAAAUCACAUCACACACUGAUCAUCAUCAUCAUUGAUCAUUAAGUAAAAUUAAUUAAAUUUUUUACUUCACAAAAUGAUGGGCAUAUUUUAUUUUAAUUUUUUUGCAAUCUCAAUGAUUUCCUGAAUAGUAAUCAAAACAAACAUUUGUCCCCAUCAUUUUGGUCACCAAAACAGCUGCAAAUCAUCACCCAAUAUGAAGCAUCUUCUUGUCUUGAUGAGAGUAAGUAACAGCUCCACCUUCCAUCAUAUUAGGAGAGAAGAAAUUACGAGAAGCCAAUGCCUGAAUUGCAUUCAGUUCUUGUCCAGAUACCAUGUUUGCUUGUUGGAGCCUCUCAACUUCAGCUAUCUUGGUUCUAAUACACACAUUUUCAUUCUCCAGCUCAAUCUCCCUUUUUUGAAGAUACUCAAUUUCUGCUAGCAACAUUUCAUGCUUCUUUGAUCUGAUUCUAGUGAUGCCCCUUUCAAGCCUAUUUUCAAGCUGCUUUAGUUCUUUGACUGUAAGAGCACUCAAGGAGUCCCCCAUCAAGUGCCUAACAAGAUUGCUGUUGGAAUUCUGAAGCAUUUGUAUUUGUUGACGCAGCUUAGCCGAUUCUUGCUGAUAAUAUUGAGUAUUUAGUUCAGUGACAGAGCUGGUAGCUGAGCUAUCAGAACAAGCCUUCUUGUACCUCUCAAUAGUAGUUUUGAUACUGUUAUUGGAGUAUUCAUAGAGACGGCCACGGCUGGAGAAGACAAUGAGGGCAACUUCAGCAUCACAAAGA